This 256-nucleotide ribosomal RNA is filed under the name uncultured bacterium. RNAcentral's name for it is "partial 16S ribosomal RNA". It matches the Rfam family "Bacterial small subunit ribosomal RNA", at positions 524 to 777 of the family's 1533-position model. The record is from RNAcentral.
UACGUAGGUGACCAGCGUUGUCCGGAUUUACUGGGCGUAAAGAGCGCGCAGGCGGUCGUUCAAGUCGAGUGUGAAAGCCCCCGGCUCAACUGGGGAGGGUCACUCGAUACUGAUCGACUUGAAGGCAGGAGAGGGAAGCGGAAUUCCCGGUGUAGUGGUGAAAUGCGUAGAUAUCGGGAGGAACACCAGUGGCGAAGGCGGCUUCCUGGCCUGCUCUUGACGCUGAGGCGCGAAAAGCUAGGGGGAGCAAACGGGG